GGCUGGGUGCCUGGUCCAGCUAGGUUUAACCCUUUUUUCUAUAAACAUAGCAGUUUCAGAGAAACUGCUAUGUUUAUAAUAGGGUUAAUCCAGCCUCUAGUGGCUGUCUCAUUGACAGGCGCUUCCGCGCUUCUCACUGUGAAAAUCUCAGUGAGAAGACGCCAGCGUCCAUAGGAAAGCAUUGUGAAUGCUUUCCUAUGAGACUGGCUGAAUGCGCGCGCAGCUCUUGCCGCGCAUGCGCAUUCAGCCGAGGAGGCGGAGAGGAGGAGGAGAGUCCCCCGCCCGGCGCUGGAGAAAGAGGUAAGUUUAACCCCUUCCUCCCCCUAGAGCCCGGCGGGAGGGGGA
Molecule: non-coding RNA, 345 nt
Organism: Pelobates cultripes (western spadefoot toad)
Lineage: Eukaryota; Metazoa; Chordata; Amphibia; Anura; Pelobatidae
Source: the annotation of a GenBank genome assembly